This 497-nucleotide ribosomal RNA is filed under the name uncultured bacterium. Its description in RNAcentral is "partial 16S ribosomal RNA". It matches the Rfam family "Bacterial small subunit ribosomal RNA", at positions 28 to 507 of the family's 1533-position model. The record is from RNAcentral.
GACGAACGCUGGCGGCGUGCCUAAUACAUGCAAGUCGAGCGAACGGACGAGAAUCUUGCUUCUCUGACGUUUGCGGCGCACGGGUGUGUAACACGUGGAUAACCUACCUAUAAGACUGGGAUAUCUUCGGAACACCGGAGCUAAUACCGGAUAAUAUUUUGCACCGCAUGGUUCAAAAGUGAAAGACGGUGUUGCUGUCACUUAUAGAUGGAUCCCCGCUGCAUUAGCUAGUUGGUACGUUAACGGCUUACCAAGGCAACGAUGCAUAGCCGACCUGAGAGGGUGAUCGGCGACACUGGAACUGAGACACGGUCCAGACUACUACGGGAGGCAGCAGUAGGGAAUCUUCGGCAAUGGGCGAAAGCCUGACGGAGCAACGCCGCGUGAGUGAUGAAGGUCUUCGGAUCGUAAAGCUCUGUUAUUAGGGAAGAACAUAUGUGGAAGUAACUGUGCACAUCUUGACGGUACCUAAUAAGAAAGCCACGGCUAACUACGUG